Ribosomal RNA from Helobdella robusta, 119 nucleotides. NCBI's taxonomy places the organism in Eukaryota, Metazoa, Annelida, Clitellata, Rhynchobdellida, Glossiphoniidae. The record is from Rfam.
GUCUACGGCCAUAUCACGUUGAAAACACAGGUUCUCGUCCGAUCACCGAAGUUAAGCAACGUCGAGCCCGGUUAGUACUUGGAUGGGUGACCGCCUGGGAAUACCGGGUGCUGUAGGCU